RNAcentral lists this ribosomal RNA (504 nucleotides) under uncultured bacterium. Its description in RNAcentral is "bacterial SSU rRNA". It matches the Rfam family "Bacterial small subunit ribosomal RNA", at positions 8 to 526 of the family's 1533-position model. The record is from RNAcentral.
AGAGUUUGAUCAUGGCUCAGGACGAACGCUGGCGGCGUGCCUAACACAUGCAAGUCGAACGGAGAAUCAGGAGCUUGCUCCUGAUUCUUAGUGGCGGACGGGUGAGUAACGCGUGAGUAACCUGCCUUCAAGAGGGGGAUAACAUUCUGAAAAGAAUGCUAAUACCGCAUGAUAUAUCGGAACCACAUGGUUUUGAUAUCAAAGAUUUUAUCGCUUGAAGAUGGACUCGCGUCCGAUUAGUUAGUUGGUGAGGUAACGGCUCACCAAGACCGCGAUCGGUAGCCGGACUGAGAGGUUGAACGGCCACAUUGGGACUGAGACACGGCCCAGACUCCUACGGGAGGCAGCAGUGGGGAAUAUUGCACAAUGGGGGAAACCCUGAUGCAGCGACGCCGCGUGAGCGAAGAAGUAUUUCGGUAUGUAAAGCUCUAUCAGCAGGGAAGAAAAUGACGGUACCUGACUAAGAAGCACCGGCUAAAUACGUGCCAGCCGCCGCGGUAAUAC